This 315-nucleotide ribosomal RNA is filed under the name uncultured eukaryote. Its description in RNAcentral is "partial 18S ribosomal RNA". It matches the Rfam family "Eukaryotic small subunit ribosomal RNA", at positions 1470 to 1796 of the family's 1831-position model. The record is from RNAcentral.
CCCUUAGACGUUCUGGGCCGCACGCGCGCUACACUGACCAGUGCAACAAGCAUCCGUCCUUGGCCGACAGGCUCGGGCAAUCUUUGAACGCUGGUCGUGAUGGGGAUAGACUUUUGCAAUUUUUGGUCUUCAACGAGGAAUUCCUAGUAAACGCAAGUCAUCAACUUGCAUUGAUUACGUCCCUGCCCUUUGUACACACCGCCCGUCGCACCUACCGAUUGAAUGGUCCGGUGAAGCCUCCGGAUUGGCGCGCACCCCGGUGCCGCCGAGAAGUUGGCUAAACCUUNCNAUUUAGNGGAAGGUGAANUCGUANCA